Molecule: ribosomal RNA, 413 nt
Filed under: Penaeus japonicus
Lineage: Eukaryota; Metazoa; Arthropoda; Malacostraca; Decapoda; Penaeidae
Description: 16S ribosomal RNA
Rfam family: Bacterial large subunit ribosomal RNA
Source: RNAcentral
CGUGCGAAGGUAGCAUAAUCAUUAGUCUUUUAAUUGGAGGCUUGUAUGAAUGGUUGGACAAAAAGUAAGCUGUCUCGAUUAUAAUAAUUGAACUUAACUUUUAAGUGAAAAGGCUUAAAUGUUUCAGGGGACGAUAAGACCCUAUAAAGCUUGACAAUAACUUCGUUAUAUUAUAAAUUGUUAGUAUAACUUGAUUUUAACGGGGGUUUGUUUCGUUGGGGCGACGGGAAUAUAAUAAAUAACUGUUCUUUUAAAUAUAAUUACAAAAAUGUUUGGUAAAUAAUUGAUCCUCUAUUAGAGAUUAAAAGAUUAAGUUACUUUAGGGAUAACAGCGUAAUCUUCUUUGAGAGUCCACAUCGACAAGAAGGUUUGCGACCUCGAUGUUGAAUUAAGGUAUCCUUAUAAUGCAGCAG